CGGCUCGGCAUCCACCUCAUCCGCUUCAGCCUCUGCGUCUUCAUCCAAGUCAUCUAGAAACAACGGUUUCCAUGAGAACAGCUGGCUUAGUGUCCACUGGUGGCUCAUUCUCCUGCACUUGGACAGGCAGUCCCAUCUCCACCUUGGCGCGUUUACGACUUGGACCCGGUAUCUCAUAAGCUGGCUUAGACCUUCCACUCUUUGUCCUACUUAUGGGUUCAUCUUCAACUAUAAUUGCAGUUUUCUGCAACUCUUCAAGUGUAGUGGGCUUAAUGUCCUGGGUGACUAGAUUACUUAUAUUUGUGGUUGUGGCGGUGGCUGUGGCAUUGGCGGUGGUGCUACUGCUGCCUGAUGAUGUUGAGGCUCCUUCGUUUGUCAGCUCACCCUUAACAUCGAUCAGAGUCUUUAGAAUUUCAUAAUUGAUUUUACUCGAGAUUUUCUUCUCUUGCAACAUCUUUUCGAUUGCCUCGCCUGCCGUCGACGAUGGUCCAAUUAUCUUUUUACGCGGCGGCUUACGUUUCUUUUUUUCUGGCUUUCCCUCUUCGCGCUCCUUAGCCAGACGUUCUUCCCGUUCCUUUUGCUCCUUUAGAUAUUCGGCAUUCAGCGUUUGCCACAUAUUUAGUUUAGUCACAGCCUCCUCUUCGGUCAGCACAUACUGAUCCAGUUCAUCGUCGUUGAGAUCAUCAACGAUAAGUUCCUGAUCCUUGGUCUGCUUGGCCCUUUCGACAUCUUCAAGAUCGCUUUGGGUUACGCGACAAAUGGCCUCAAUAUCGGGACGUAAUCCCUCGAUCCCAGCCACCAAGCUAUCUCUCUUAAUGUUUUCUUGUCUGUCGUCUUUGCAUUCCUCUUGGGAGUCACCCUCAAUAAACUCUUUGAUCACCUUGGCAUUAGAUUGUUCGAUAAAUUGUCGCGACUCUUCCAUUUCGAGAUCGUUCUCUGAGAAACUUCUUGGUGAAUCUGGCAGAGAACCGCUUUCACUUUUCCCUUUAGUAAACUGACGAAGUACACUUUUAGUGCAUUUGCCUAGAUCCUUUUCCAAUUGGGCAUCGAUUUGCUUUUGCAAAUCCGUCAGCUCGUGUUCGCCCAUCUAAAAAAGAUACAUAAAAUGAGUGUGAAUAUCAUUUCGUCUGUGUGUUCACAUUUACUUACGUCUUUGAUACGUUCACGAUCUUUUUUUCUUGCUGCCUUGAAUGAAGGCGGAUCCUGUUCCCUCUCCAAGUCCACGGUCAUAAAUUCCUCAAGUGUUAGCCCACCCGAGGGUGUCUCGGCAAACUCGGAUAGUCGCUUGCGCAAGGUGGAUUCAUGUAUCUUGACCACGCCUAUGACAUCGACCAGAGUCCGACUAAAGUCAUGCAUGCGUGCGGCAAUCAGCAAAGCUAACAAAGAGAGAUUGGAUUAUAUUAAUGACUUUUCAGAGAUUUAUUUGCCUGACCUCACUCACCUGCUCCACACAAUCCUGUGGGUCGGCGACCUGAAUGCAUGCAAUCCUUUUUCAUGCGCUGCACAAUUCGUAGCGCUGUCAUGGACACUUCAUGGGUUUUGGCUCCGAGUUGCAGUCGAUUGGCGAAGCGCAUAAUAUAUAAACAGGGAUCUGCAACGAAUUGUGGCAAUAAGGAAGCAAUUAAUAAAACCAAAAACAACAACAGACAACAACAUAAAACUAAAAACAUUGAUCCAAGCAAACAAUAAACAAGCAAAGUGGUGGCAUCUGAUGAAGAACUUGUUCAACUUCGACCUUGAAGUCGUCGGCCAAGCCAAUGAAAUCGAAAACAGCCAAUAAACCGGCCCCAAAACAGCCGAAAAUGAAGAACAACAGCAACAACAUCACAAACAACAACAACAACAGCAAUCUUGAACCCGAACUUCAAGACCCGAUAUUCAAUUCGAUUCAUUCAACUUUUACAACAAGGCAUUAUGGGAGAGAGAGAGAGAAAGAGAGAGAAGCGAACACGAGAGACAAAAGAGGCAGAGAGUAACCGAGAAACUGAAUAAUUUUGCUCUCUUCUUGCAACGACUUAACACAUUUUUUUAUUGCAUGCAAUAGAUUUUGUUGGCCAUAAAUCACAUUCACAUUCAAAUACAUAUAUGUAUGUGUAUAUUGCGUAUACGUCACGUAUUUCUCGGCUCCGUUGCCUGGGAUUAACGGGGUAAUUAGUUCUAUUUGGACUAGAUGAAAGAUAACCCAAGCCAAGCAGAGCCAACAACAACAAAAACAACAACAACUACAAUGGACAGCUCAAUUAACGCCUUGGUUUAGGCAAACACAAAACAGUCAAAAACAAAAAGGCAAAAAAGACUUGAAAAAUAAAAUAAAAUGUCGAGACACAAAUUGACUCAUGGCAAAUAAAACUUAGCACUAAACGCACUAGAAAUAAGCGGUAAACACACUCGAGUCCACGACCUUGCCAAAGAGAUCUGCGCUAAAUACUUCAUUAGCUUUGCGUUAAGAAGGGCGGCAACCGUCCUCUACGAUUACACAACUCGGCCAGCCAGCCAGAUAGUUACCAACAUUUCGAAAAUUUGCAAAACAAGUGGCGAGAGCAUUUUAAAGAAGUUUAUUUUCUGUUUUUGUUGUGUUUCUCAGACUUUUGCCUUUAAACAGAAAAUAUUUGUCUUUCAUAGAGGUUGAUGGCGAAAUCUCCAAUCUAUAAAGUGAUUCUGUUUGGCUUUUUUUACUAGAAUUGGUUUGGUUUGACAUUAUUCAUUAUUGUUCCUUGAAUAGAGACAAACUUGAGCAAUGAAUUAGUUCUUAAACCUUCACUAGACCUUUCUAUUUUACUUUCAUUGGUGUUUGUUACGCUAUUAACCAAAUUUAAAAGCGGUUUGUAAAUCUUUUACUAUUUUUUUUUGCUGUAUGCAGUAUUUUGAUUUGCUUAUUGAAAGUAGAUAGUGAAUAAUUUUGGCUUAACUUAAGACUACCUAAUCUAAGCAAGCUACUUAUAAUGUAGAUGCGGCUUAGAAUUAGAAUUAGUCGAUGAAAACAUAUUUCAAAAGAUUUAAAAAAACCUACUUACAUUCUUGGGACUAUGUCAAAUAUCUUUUCCUAAUAAGUAACUAUUAAAUAAUUUGGUAAAUUUACAAAAUUUA
Long non-coding RNA from Drosophila willistoni, 3087 nucleotides. RefSeq lists it as uncharacterized. Lineage: Eukaryota; Metazoa; Arthropoda; Insecta; Diptera; Drosophilidae. The record is from RefSeq and is a predicted model, not a curated record. The transcript has 2 exons.